Molecule: long non-coding RNA, 168 nt
Organism: Leopardus geoffroyi (Geoffroy's cat)
Lineage: Eukaryota; Metazoa; Chordata; Mammalia; Carnivora; Felidae
Exons: 2
Source: RefSeq, a predicted model, not a curated record
UGUAAAUCAAACUUUUUUUCUGUCAUUCAGCUCUAGAUGUAGAAAAGAAGUGGCAAUUCAUCAACAUUUAUGGAUAUUUCAGGUAAUGUUACACGAAGUACAGAAGGUCUUUUUUAACGGACACAAUAAAAUCCAUAAUUGCUCAAAACUAAAGUUUCGAGACAAACA